CAGUUCGGAUUGUAGGCUGAAACUCGCCUACAUGAAGCUGGAGUUACUAGUAAUCGCAGAUCAGAAUGCUGCGGUGAAUGCGUUCCCGGGUCUUGUACACACCGCCCGUCACACCACGGAAGUUGGGGGCGCCCGAAGCCACUUAGCUAACCCAUUUGGGAAGCGAGUGUCGAAGGUGAAAUCAAUAACUGGGGUGAAGUCGUAACAAGGUAUC
Molecule: ribosomal RNA, 214 nt
Filed under: uncultured bacterium
Lineage: Bacteria
Description: partial 16S ribosomal RNA
Rfam family: Bacterial small subunit ribosomal RNA
Source: RNAcentral